Non-coding RNA from Oryza barthii, 189 nucleotides. The record is from Rfam. Lineage: Eukaryota; Viridiplantae; Streptophyta; Magnoliopsida; Poales; Poaceae.
AAUAAACGCAGAGAUGAGUUUCCGUGUCCAACUUUGAUUUUCCGUCUUAUUUAAAAAAUUUUUAUAAUUAAUAUUUUAUUGUUAUUAUAUUAUCAAAACAUGAAUAAUAUUUUAUAUGUGACUUAUUUUUUUUAAAAAAAAAAGACGAAUGAUUAAAGUUGAACACGAAAACUCAUGGUUAUGUUUAUU